UCCUGCAGCAACUCUCAGCGAUCUGCAAUGAUGACUGGGCGGAUCAUACGUUGUGGUGACCGGAGUGGAUGAAGCCGGGCCACGUACGUUAUAAAUACAGGUCCUGGAUCGGGCGAGGCUCCGCCCAGUGCGCCCGGGCAGGGUUAAUGUCUUACAUCACUGUAGCUUACAUAAAACAUGAGUCCCGCGGGGGAGGGGCAGCCGCUCAGCAUUGGCUCACCAGGGCUAAAGUCAGUGCAAAAUGGGCAGAGGCUCUGGAAACUGACCCCCCCCAGAGUGUUUUCUGGAGGCGGAGCACGUUCUGUACAAGGUAUAAGGAGGAGUCCAGCUCGGUUUUUUGGGGGGGUGUUAGUGUAA
Molecule: long non-coding RNA, 357 nt
Organism: Bufo bufo (common toad)
Lineage: Eukaryota; Metazoa; Chordata; Amphibia; Anura; Bufonidae
Exons: 3
Source: RefSeq, a predicted model, not a curated record